RNAcentral lists this ribosomal RNA (497 nucleotides) under uncultured bacterium. RNAcentral describes it as "partial 16S ribosomal RNA". It matches the Rfam family "Bacterial small subunit ribosomal RNA", at positions 28 to 507 of the family's 1533-position model. The record is from RNAcentral.
GACGAACGCUGGCGGCGUGCCUAAUACAUGCAAGUAGAACGCUGAAGCGAGGAGUUUGCUCUUCUUGGAUGAGUUGCGAACGGGUGAGUAACGCGUAGGUAACCUGCCUUGUAGCGGGGGAUAACUAUUGGAAACGAUAGCUAAUACCGCAUAACAAUGGAUGACACAUGUCAUUUAUUUGAAAGGGGCAAUUGCUCCACUACAAGAUGGACCUGCGUUGUAUUAGCUAGUAGGUGAGGUAAUGGCCCACCUAGGCGACGAUACAUAGCCGACCUGAGAGGGUGAUCGGCCACACUGAGAAUGAGACAGGGCCCAGACACCUUCGGGGGGCAGCAGUAGGGAAUCUUCGGCAAUGGGGACAAGCCUGACCGAGCAACGCCACGUGAGUGAAGAAGGUUUUCAGAUCGUAAAGCUCUGUUGUAAGUAAAGAACGGAUGAGAGAGUGGGAAGUUCACACUAUGACGGUAGCUUACCAGGAAGGGACGGCUAACUGCGUG